GUCCCUGCAGCGCAAUGGAUAGCGCGUUGGACUUUUAAUCCAAAGGUCGUGGGUUCAAAUUCCAUCUGGGAUG
Molecule: transfer RNA, 73 nt
Filed under: Trichonephila inaurata madagascariensis
Lineage: Eukaryota; Metazoa; Arthropoda; Arachnida; Araneae; Nephilidae
Rfam family: tRNA
About the family: Transfer RNA (tRNA) molecules are approximately 80 nucleotides in length. Their secondary structure includes four short double-helical elements and three loops (D, anti-codon, and T loops). Further hydrogen bonds mediate the characteristic L-shaped molecular structure. tRNAs have two regions of fundamental functional importance: the anti-codon, which is responsible for specific mRNA codon recognition, and the 3' end, to which the tRNAs corresponding amino acid is attached (by aminoacyl-tRNA synthetases). tRNAs cope with the degeneracy of the genetic code in two manners: having more than one tRNA (with a specific anti-codon) for a particular amino acid; and 'wobble' base-pairing, i.e. permitting non-standard base-pairing at the 3rd anti-codon position.
Source: Rfam by way of RNAcentral